GGAGGGGUGCGAGAGUGGUUGAAUCGGGCGGUCUCGAAAACCGUUGACCCUCACGGGUCCGUGGGUUCGAAUCCCACCUCCUCCG
This 85-nucleotide transfer RNA is filed under the name bacterium E08(2017). It matches the Rfam family "tRNA". Rfam says of the family: Transfer RNA (tRNA) molecules are approximately 80 nucleotides in length. Their secondary structure includes four short double-helical elements and three loops (D, anti-codon, and T loops). The record is from Rfam by way of RNAcentral.